UGGGGAAUAUUGCACAAUGGGCGAAAGCCUGAUGCAGCAACGCCGCGUGAGUGAUGAAGGCCUUCGGGUUGUAAAGCUCUGUCUUUUGGGACGAUAAUGACGGUACCAAAGGAGGAAGCCACGGCUAACUACGUGCCAGCAGCCGCGGUAAUACGUAGGUGGCAAGCGUUGUCCGGAUUUACUGGGCGUAAAGGAUGCGUAGGCGGAUUUUUAAGUGAGAUGUGAAAUACCCGGGCUUAACUUGGGUGCUGCAUUUCAAACUGGGAAUCUAGAGUGCGGGAGAGGAGAAUGGAAUUCCUAGUGUAGCGGUGAAAUGCGUAGAGAUUAGGAAGAACACCAGUGGCGAAGGCGAUUCUCUGGACCGUAACUGACGCUGAGGCACGAAAGCGUGGGUAGCAAACAGGAUUAGAUACCCUGGUAGUCCACGCCGUAAACGAUGAGUACUAGGUGUAGGAGGUAUCGACCCCUUCUGUGCCGCAGUUAACACAAUAAGUACUCCGCCUGGGAAGUACGAUCGCAAGAUUAAAA
RNAcentral lists this ribosomal RNA (528 nucleotides) under uncultured bacterium. Its description in RNAcentral is "partial 16S ribosomal RNA". It matches the Rfam family "Bacterial small subunit ribosomal RNA", at positions 355 to 899 of the family's 1533-position model. The record is from RNAcentral.